AGUGAACGCUGGCGGUAGGCCUAACACAUGCAAGUCGAACGGCAGCACAGUAAGAGCUUGCUCUUACGGGUGGCGAGUGGCGGACGGGUGAGGAAUACAUCGGAAUCUACUUUUUCGUGGGGGUUAACGUAGUGAAACUUACGCUAAUACCGCAUACGACCUACGGGUGAAAGCAGGGGAUCUUCGGACCUUGCGCGAUUGAAUGAGCCGAUGUCGGAUUAGAUAGUUGGCGGGGUAAAGGCCCACCAAGGCGACGAUCCGUAGCUGGUCUGAGAGGAUGAUCAGCCACACUGGAACUGAGACACGGUCCAGACUCCUACGGGAGGCAGCAGUGGGGAAUAUUGGACAAUGGGCGCAAGCCUGAUCCAGCCAUACCGCGUGGGUGAAGAAGGCCUUCGGGUUGUAAAGCCCUUUUGUUGGGAAAGAAAAGCAGCAGGUUAAUACCCAGCUGUUCUGACGGUACCCAAAGAAUAAGCACCGGCUAACUUCGUG
RNAcentral lists this ribosomal RNA (492 nucleotides) under uncultured bacterium. RNAcentral describes it as "partial 16S ribosomal RNA". It matches the Rfam family "Bacterial small subunit ribosomal RNA", at positions 29 to 507 of the family's 1533-position model. The record is from RNAcentral.